UCUGGACUCCAGUCAAGCAGCAACUUUGUUUAUGGUGCCAAGCGGGUGUGGAAAAAAAAUGAUUUCCUGAUCAUGUCGUGCAACUGUGAGGUCAGACCAUCCACAGGUGAACAAAUAAGUGGCUCCCAGACUCGCCUGUGUGCGGGAAGUGCUGGCGUGUCACCUUUGAAAUAAUAUUGCUGCCAUCAAGCUCACGCCUGAGGAACAGCAUCCACCCUGUCACUGGGACCUCGCCGGUUAAGGAAGGAAGCAAGCACAAAGAAAGAAUUUUUUUUCUAACCACUAGAGAGAGAGCAAGCAUCACUGUGGAAAACUUCUUUUCUUUCAGUCAAAAAAAGUUGACCUCACGAUCAUUGUCAUCGUCAUCUGGCUGCAGGAUCAGGGAAUGCCUGGCGAUCGCCAAUCACAGCAAUACCGCUCAGGACUCCUGCAAGGUGCCGGGCAAGAUCACUAAAUGCCUUGUGUGCCUUUUACCAUCGGGGAUAUGAAAGCAUCCUCUCUGCUUUUAAUUUCUUGUGGGUAGUUUGUUCUUCUUUGCCUGGUUAAAAUGUCAGGGUCUUAUUCUGUGUUUCUCUUCCACCCUCCGCUUCCUCUGCUGUUCCACCAUCUGCCGGGCAUCGAUUCCCUUGCUGACAGGUCCGAUUCAAUAACAGGUACGCUCUUCUCCAGUCAGCUGGCAGCGUCAGGCGAUGGCAAAAGCACUGAGAAAUUAAACACAGUAAAAGUGGCACCGAGAGAGAGGCAGACAUCGUCAAUGAUGAAGGAGGGGCGGAGAAUUCAUGGAAAUGGCAAGGUGCUAUCCACUGAUUGUGGAUUGAUGAGGUGUCUGCGCUACAACCUGACAUUGAAGUAGAAAAUUUCAAGCAGCUAUCGGCAAUGGAAUUGGAUCAAAGACUUUCAACAGUGAAGUUUGUUAAUGAUUCUACACACAAAGGAUGUGUAAUAAAACUGAACCAGGCUCAAUAUACCAACCAACCAUUUCAGCUGAACACAAAAUUGGUAUGGUGAUAGAAGACAGAGGGAAGAUGUUUUCCAACAGGAAUUAAUGGUGUGCCCUCUUCUUGUUGCUGCCAUCAAGGAGGAGAUGCAGGAGCCUGAAGACAUACUCUCACUGUUUUAGUAACAGCUUUUUCUCCUCCACCAUCAGAUUUAUGAAUGGACAGUGAAUAUUAUCAGGCUUUGCAAUGUACUGCUACCACAAAACAAGAAAUUUCACUAUGUAUGCUAGUGAUAUUAAACCUAAUUCUGAUUUCUGAUUCUCACCAGAGGGAUUGGUGCUUGUUGUAGUUGUUUGUCAUAUAUUAACUGACUUGGAUGAAUAUGUUAUUGGUCAGUAUAAUGUAAGUAUACUGCUGACACAAACAUUGGUGAGGUUGUAGAUAGCAUGGAUGGCUUCCUAAGGAUACAGAGGUACAUGGGUCAGUUGAAAAGUUGUGUGGAACAGAGGCAAAUGGAAUUUAAUCCAGACAAAUGUGAGAUAUUAGACAGAUUUUGAAUACUGGCAGGCAUAUUCAGUAAAGUGAAGCAGUGAUGUGCACAGGCACUUUGGGUUGCAAGUUCAUAUCUCCCUGAAAAUGGUGACACAGGUGGAUAAGAUAAUGAAGAUUAUAAGAUAAAGCAUUUAGCUUGCCUCCCUUUAUAGACAGAGGCAUUGAAUAUAUGAGUUGGGACAUCAUGUUGGGGUUGUAUAAGUUGUAAUGGUUCGGCCAUGUUUGGAACAUUAUGAGCAGUUUUGUUUUACAUUUUUCUUUUCCCCUCCAAUGAGUUUCCUACUGAGCCAUUAAACAUUCAACCCCUUAUUUUGUUACUCUAGCUCCUCAUUUGUGACAUUCCCACUAAUGAAAAAAUAUCACCAUUUGCCCUUAUGAUCUGCUAUGUUUGAGUAAGGCUAACUCUCAUUUUUCUAAACUCUAAGGAAUAAGACCCAAACUGUUGAUUCUCUCUUGCUAAAUAUUGUGAAAUGUGAAGCCUUGAUAAUCUGGCAUUAAAUAAUAAAAAACACCUAGUUUCAAAAAUGUGCUGGAAUUCUCACAUUACUUCAUAUUUAUAUUGAAAUAAAAGGCAUUUUUUUUCACCAAAUAAUGUUGUCUUGUUUGGCAACAAAACGUUUUGUCUUGCCCUAUUUUUAGUUGUAAGAUGAUGAAAUUCUUAUCAUCGGCACAAGAAAUGCCGAUUUCAAACAUAAUUGCCAUAUUGAAUCUUACUGGAUCCAGUCACAGCCCAGAGUCACUGCCUACAGUACAAGCCUGCAUUCACCUGGGUCAAAUACAGGGACACCCUGCAAUCAGCAGAGGUCUCGGCCAGAAGCUCAAGUGCUUCCACAGACAGCUGAGGGAAACGCUUUGCCAGUGUUUGAAACUAAUAAUUGACCUCGGCAGUUUUAAAUAUCUUUUGAUUUCAGGAAUAUCUUAGAUUUCAGGGUACUGGUUAGAAAAAGAAACAAAUUAAAAUACUCAUCAGUUAUCUUCACGGUCACCACUCCUUCUGUCACUGGAAGCAAUUUCUCGUCACUUAUUUCAAUGAAACUGGCUCUUCAGUUUGAACCCCUCUACUAAAUUCCUCCUGCCCAAAGGAAGAUGUUCCUUGGCUUAGUCUCACUGAAGGUUUCUAGUUUCUGGACAGCUGGUAGACCAUGCCUAUUGUUCAGGUGUAUUCUAGAGUUAUGAUGUACAGCAAAUACUAAUUUCAGCAGCAGCCGAUCUUCAGACCUGAAUGUGGGUUGUAGAUUGAAGUUAGAGUGAAGUUCUGAACAAUGGCCUUCCUGGAUCAGCAUUUUGGGGUUGAUUGCAAACAAAGGAACACUCCAUUUGACUGCAUAUGCGUGAAUGUGACCCAGAGUCAGUGGUAAUUAACAUUUAUUUAGGUUGUCUGCUGUGUGGGUAUGAAGAUGGAGGUGUUGAAAAUUUUAUGUAAUUCAAAGGAAGCAUUGUAGUUACAUUAUAACUAUAGAAUUGUCCUACUGUUACUUUCGACUUUUAGCAUAUAAAAAUGUCAUGUAGUAUUGGGACAGACAGGCCUCUUCUUCCAAGAGCGUCUCGAACAUGAUGCUUGCUGUUCAUUUUGCUGAAUAAAGGCUUC
Molecule: long non-coding RNA, 3078 nt
Organism: Mobula hypostoma (lesser devil ray)
Lineage: Eukaryota; Metazoa; Chordata; Chondrichthyes; Myliobatiformes; Myliobatidae
Exons: 3
Source: RefSeq, a predicted model, not a curated record